This is a non-coding RNA of Acanthosepion pharaonis, 112 nucleotides long. Lineage: Eukaryota; Metazoa; Mollusca; Cephalopoda; Sepiida; Sepiidae. The record is from the annotation of a GenBank genome assembly.
UUACGGCCAUAUAAUGUUGGAACACCGGUUCUCAUAUGAUCACCGAAGUUAAGCAACACUGAGUCUAGUCAGUACCUAGAUAUGUAACCACUGAGAAAUAUUAGGUUCUGUA